UGCGGUAAUUUGACCGUGCAAAGGUAGCAUAAUCAGUAGUCUUUUAAUUGAAGGCUGGAAUGAACGGCUGGAUGAAGGAUUAACUGUCUUUAAUACAAUUUAUAACUUGACUUUUAAGUGAAAAGGCUUAAAUUAUUUAAAGGGACGAUAAGACCCUAUAAAACUUGACACAUUGUUAUUUCUAGCUUUGAAUUCUAAGCCAAAAUUGUAAAGGUGAUCUUGUGUUCUGUUGGGGAGACAUUGAUAAAAUUAGUAACUGUCUGAUUAAAUAUUAUAAUUAUAAUUAGUACGUGAUCCUUCUCUGAGGAUUAAAAGAAUAAGUUACUUUAGGGAUAACAGCGUAAUUUUCUCUGAGAGUUCUUAUCGAAGGGAGUAGUUGCGACCUCGAUGUUGAAUUAA
RNAcentral lists this ribosomal RNA (399 nucleotides) under Palaemon vulgaris. RNAcentral's name for it is "partial 16S ribosomal RNA". It matches the Rfam family "Bacterial large subunit ribosomal RNA", at positions 1932 to 2540 of the family's 2925-position model. The record is from RNAcentral. Lineage: Eukaryota; Metazoa; Arthropoda; Malacostraca; Decapoda; Palaemonidae.